AUGGAACAUGUGCACAACGGGAGCCUUGCAUCUGCUGAAAACGUGGCACAGCAAACUAUAAGUUGUUCAGGACAAUCUUGGAGCAGAUCAUUCAGCCAGUGUGAGGGGAAGAAGAGCAGAGAGGAAGAAGAGCUGAGAAAGGUGGCCGUUAUUGAUAUAUUUGACAAAAUUUAUAUGAGUCAGAGAGAGAGAAAAUUGAAGUUAUAUUACAAGAAAGGAAGAAAUGGAGCAUUAUUAAGAAUUCUACUAUAUUAUUGAAAUAGAAAAACCCUAACAAAUAAAGGAGGAGAGGGAUAGAUUUCUGAAGACUUUGUGGUAUCUCACUGCCCUGUUAUGCAACUUAAAACCGGUCCAAAUAUACGGAGGCAUCUUACAGCACCAGUUCACAAGACAAAGCAAUGUACUUUUUUCUUUUUCUUGGGUGGCAUCUCUAAUCAGAUCUCCCUGGCCGUAGAGUGGCUGAAUUCUUUCUUCUGGCUAUGUUACUGUGUUGGUUUAAAUCCCAGCAGGAAGAUUAAACCAUUUGUGUUACCUUGUUCCACCUUCGGCCUGUCAUUCUCCUGCUGAAACCAUGCACCUGCCAGGAUGUAGAGGGUAUGGAAUUAAACAGUGGUAGAAACUCCACCCCUUUUCUCUCUGACCACAAUAGUUACCUUCAUAUUUCUA
Vidua macroura (Pin-tailed whydah) is the source of this 666-nucleotide long non-coding RNA. RefSeq lists it as uncharacterized. The record is from RefSeq and is a predicted model, not a curated record. Lineage: Eukaryota; Metazoa; Chordata; Aves; Passeriformes; Viduidae. The transcript has 6 exons.